Zeugodacus cucurbitae (melon fly) is the source of this 335-nucleotide long non-coding RNA. RefSeq lists it as uncharacterized. Lineage: Eukaryota; Metazoa; Arthropoda; Insecta; Diptera; Tephritidae. The transcript has 2 exons. The record is from RefSeq and is a predicted model, not a curated record.
UCAGAACAAAAGAUUAAAGAUUUCUGACAGCUUAUUUAUAUGUAUUUUAUUUCCGAAUUUUAGGUGAAAUCUUAAAAUUUUUAUUUUUUGCGAGAAUUGAGUUCAGUUUUCCCUGAUAAAUUAUCGUAAUAAGCUCUCUAAUUUGCUAUAUUAUUCGUUCGUUAAUAGUAAGGAUCUAUGUGGGAUAAUUUUUAUUGUUGAAUGUAAUAUCAUGGCAAGCUGGCUGAAUGAAGAGGGUGAUCUGAAGAUAUCAAGGAUGAAGUGGAAUUAAAACUCUAAUCCAGCUUUUUGAUGUCAUAAAUAUUGCCGUUGAUGUGUUGACUAUUUAAAAAUGG